RNAcentral lists this unclassified non-coding RNA (229 nucleotides) under uncultured fungus. RNAcentral's name for it is "sequence contains ITS1, 5.8S rRNA gene". The stretch from base 181 to 229 matches the Rfam family "5.8S ribosomal RNA", at positions 1 to 49 of the family's 154-position model. Lineage: Eukaryota; Fungi. The record is from RNAcentral.
UCUCCGUAGGUGAACCUGCGGAGGGAUCAUUACUGAGUGAGGGCCUCCCCGGCCCGACCUCCAACCCUUUGUGAACACAACUUGUUGCUUCGGGGGCGACCCUGCCGUUUCGACGGCGAGCGCCCCCGGAGGCCUUCAAACACUGCAUCUUUGCGUCGGAGUUUAAGUAAAUUUAGAAAAAACUUUCAACAACGGAUCUCUUGGUUCUGGAAUCGAUGAAGAACGCGGC